Cannabis sativa is the source of this 1805-nucleotide RNA transcript. It is a transcript of the gene named putative glucose-6-phosphate 1-epimerase, with no coding region annotated. The record is from RefSeq and is a predicted model, not a curated record. NCBI's taxonomy places the organism in Eukaryota, Viridiplantae, Streptophyta, Magnoliopsida, Rosales, Cannabaceae. The transcript has 9 exons.
AAAAUGGUAUUUUUCUUCAGAUUUUGUAGCGUAAGACAUUUUUAAUAAAAAAAAAUAAAAGAAAAAAAUUUGAUUAAUUAAGAUGAAAGAAAGAGCAAAGAAGUUAGUUAGUUAGUUAAAAAUUGGUACAGUUGGAUUUCUGGUUUACUCUUCACGAGAAUUUCGGGAGAGUUUAUCACCUGAUUCAGUCAUCUCCUUCCACUUUUUCCCAACUGAUUUAUAUAUACACAUAUAUAUAUAUACAGAGAGAGAAAGUUGCAAUUUUGAUCUUUAAAAAUAAUAAAAAAUGCACGGUAGCAGUGGUGGUGGUAGUGGUAAUUCCUCAUCUUCUUCUUCACCAAGAACUUAUUCAGUGGAUCUUGUGAAAGAUCGAAAUGGAAUCGAACAAGUUCUUCUCAAGAAUCAUCGAGGGGCUUCUGUUCGUGUGAGUUUGCAUGGUGGUCAAGUUCGUUCGUGGAUGAAUGAGCGUGGACAUGAAAUGUUGUUCACUAGUAGUAAGGCAAUCUUUAAGCCCCCAAAACCGGUUAGAGGAGGAAUCCCAAUUUGCUUUCCACAGUUUGGAAGUAGUGGAACAUUGGAACAACAUGGAUUUGUGAGGAACAAGAUUUGGUCAAUUGAUAAUGAUCCACCACCUUUACCUCCUAAAGAUUCAAUUGGUAAAACAUUCAUUGAUUUGGUUUUCAAACCCACUGCUGAUGACAUGAAAAUCUGGCCUCACCGUUUCGAGAUUCGAUUGAGGGUGUGUUUGGGUUCAGAAGGGAAUCUAAUCUUGAUACCUCGAGUCAGAAAUCUUGAUACAAAGCCAUUCAGCUUCUCAUUUGCCUUUCAUACAUAUUUUGCCAUUUCAGAUAUCAAUGAAAUCAGAAUAGAAGGACUUGAGACACUUUAUUAUCUUGACAAUUUAAAAGAAAGAGAGUGUUUCACUGAGCAAUAUACUGCCAUAACAUUUGAAUCUGAGGUGGAUAGAAUUUAUGUUCGUGCUGAAAAUGUUGUAGCUAUCCUUGAUCAUGAGAGAAAAAAGUCUUUCAUCAUAAGAAGAGAGGGUCUUCCUGAUGUUGUGGUAUGGAAUCCAUGGGCAACAAAAGCAAAAGCCAUAGCAGAUUUUGGAGAUGAUGAGUACAAGAGAAUGGUUUGUGUGGAUGGUGCAGCUGUUGAAAGACCAAUCACUUUGAAGCCUUGUCAGGAAUGGACUGGAAGGUUGGAACUCACAAGAGUUAAUUCAUGUUUAGAUGACUUAUCAUUAUUAAGAUGAUGAUGAUGAUGAUGAUGAUGAUGAUGAUGAUGAUGAUGAUGAUGAUGAUGAUGAUGAUAACAAAAUUGAUUCAUGUUUAGGAAAUGUACAAGGAUAGAAAGAAAGAAAAUGAGAGUGAAAGGAAAGAUUGAGGGAAAUGCUAUCCCUUCAAUUUUCAAAUCCUCAAAAAUCAAUCCUUUCAAAGAGUGAAGGAUUUUAUUGGUUGCAAGGGAUCACGUCGGCAAGGUGAUCUGGGUUUCUACAAAAAGACUGGAUUUUUCUAAUGCUCUUUGUGGGGAAGCGGCGGCUUGCUGUUUGGCUAUAGAGGAGGCUAAAGCUCGUGGUAUUGAGUUCCUUAUUGUGGAGAGUAACUCGAGGGUGGUGAUCAACCUUCUCAAUGGGAAGGAGUCAUGUUGGGAGCUUGAUAACUAUGUCUCUUUUUGUAAAAAUACCUCCACCUCUUUUAUUGGUUGUACUUUUCAAUUUGUUCGUAGACAGUGUAAUUUUAUGGCCCAUAAUGUGGCUAACUGGGCAUUUUCCCAUCAGAGGUUUGACUCUGUGCCAAUUUCCUCUA